UCCAGACUCCUACGGGAGGCAGCAGUGGGGAAUAUUGCACAAUGGGGGGAACCCUGAUGCAGCGACGCCGCGUGAGCGAUGAAGUAUUUCGGUAUGUAAAGCUCUAUCAGCAGGGAAGAAAAUGACGGUACCUGACUAAGAAGCCCCGGCUAACUACGUGCCAGCAGCCGCGGUAAUACGUAGGGGGCAAGCGUUAUCCGGAUUUACUGGGUGUAAAGGGAGCGUAGACGGCUGUGCAAGCCAGAUGUGAAAGCCCGGGGCUCAACCCCGGGACUGCUUUUGAAACUGUGUAGCUAGAGUGCAGGAGAGGUAAGUGGAAUUCCUAGUGCAGCGGUGAAAUGCGUAGAUAUUAGGAGGAACACCGGUGGCGAAGGCGGCCUACUGGACGGUGACUGACGCUGAGGCUCGAAAGCGUGGGGAGCAAACAGGAUUAGAUACCCGUGUAC
RNAcentral lists this ribosomal RNA (446 nucleotides) under uncultured bacterium. Its description in RNAcentral is "bacterial SSU rRNA". It matches the Rfam family "Bacterial small subunit ribosomal RNA", at positions 330 to 793 of the family's 1533-position model. The record is from RNAcentral.